AAUCAACGCUGGCGGCGUGCCUCAGACAUGCAAGUCGAACGAUUAAAGCUCUCUUCGGAGAGUGCAUAGAGUGGCGCACGGGUGAGUAACACGUAAGUAAUCUACCUUCGAGUGGGGAAUAACGUCCGGAAACGGACGCUAAUACCGCAUAAUGCAGCGGCAUCGUAAGAUGACAGUUGUUAAAGAUUUAUCGCUUGAAGAGGAGCUUGUGGCAGAUUAGCUAGUUGGUAAGGUAAUGGCUUACCAAGGCUACGAUCUGUAACCGGUCUUAGAGGACGGUCGGUCACACUGACACUGAAUAACGGGUCAGACUCCUACGGGAGGCAGCAGUCGGGAAUUUGGGCAAUGGGCGAAAGCCUGACCCAGCAACGCCGCGUGAAGGAUGAAGUAUUCGGUAUGUAAACUUCGAAAGAAUAGGAAGAAUAAAUGACGGUACUAUUAUAAGGUCCGGCUAACUACGUGCCAGCAGCCGCGGU
RNAcentral lists this ribosomal RNA (476 nucleotides) under uncultured bacterium. Its description in RNAcentral is "bacterial SSU rRNA". It matches the Rfam family "Bacterial small subunit ribosomal RNA", at positions 32 to 521 of the family's 1533-position model. The record is from RNAcentral.